UUUUUUGGCUGUACCCAUAGCAUGCAGAAAUUCCUAGGCCGAGGAUCCAACCCAAAACACAGCAAUGACAACAAGCCACAGGAAUGGCAGCACUGAGUCCUUAACUGCUAGGCCACCAGGGAACUCCCUAUAAGAAUUUUAAGUCUCAUUAGAAGUUAAAGCUCUUCAAAGGGACCCUCAAAAAGUCAGCAGCACUGUCCAGAAGUACAACUAAAAUAUGGCUUUCCCAUCACACAAGACACAACAAAAGUGGGAAAACCGGAAGGGCCAAUCUGGACACACAGAGAGUCUGGAUGGAGGGGAGGGAGGCCGGGCUGGGAGGCAGCACUGUCGAGAGCUGGCAUCCACUUCGUGACCUGUGGCCUCCAGCCGACCUUUGGGGGCUUUUCCCUCGAGCCUGGGAACCCUCACCUUGGACAUUGCCAACAAUCGUGGCUGGUGACAAGGGAGAAAUCACAGUUGUCCUUAAACAGCUGCUAAAGGCCAAGUACUGUGAUACAGUUUAUCCACAAUUCGUCCACAACCACCCUCUCCACUAGUUACAAUUAUCCCCCGCUUCCUGAGAGACGAACUCGCUCGGAAGCAGUACAGUCCGUAGUCAAAAGGCGGUCCUUUCAACUCUAAAAGCAGGAAGCGAGCUAACCUCAUCCCGGGUUCGAGAAGGGAGGAAAAGAGGAAUCUCAGGCUCCCUGGAGGUGAGAGAGGCAGGUUCAAAGACAGCUUAGCCCAAGUUAGAACUCCAAAGGGAUCUGCUCAUGAAAAGACACUGGCAUUCAGCAUUUUUAGCAACAUGGAUGGACCUAGAAACGAUCAUGCUAAGUGAAGUCAGCCAUACAAUGAGACACCAACAUCCAAUGCUUUCACUGACAUGUGGAAUCUGAAAAAAGGACAGACGGAACUUCUUUCCAGAACAGAUGCUGACUCACAGACAUUGAAAAACUUAUGGUCUCCGGAGGAGACAGUUUGGGAGGUGGGGGGAUGUGCUUGGGCUGUGGGAUGAAAAUCCUGUGAAAUCAGAUUGUGAUGAUCAUUAUACAACUACAGAUGUGAUAAAUUCAUUUGAGUAAUAAAAAAAAAAAAAGAAAAGACACUGGUAUUGGUUCUGCAGCAUUUGUAAGCAUUAGACAGCAGGAUGCCUCAGCUACCUUACAAGUCGAGUGGGCUUUCUUCUAUUAGCCCAAGGUCACAAGCAUCAUUUAUCAUAGUUUUAUGGAGUUGGUUUCCCCAAAUAAACUUUUAAAAUACAAUUUAGUCACUUAUUCAUUUAAAUAUUGCAGUACCUCUUAUGGACUUGGGAGGGGGCAGUGAACAAAACAGGCCAAAAACCUCCAGCUCUAAUGGAAAGGUGACUAUGGACAGAGGAAAAUCGCCAUGAAGGAACUAUGGUUAUUUUUAUUAGGUGUAUGAAUUGGGUGGUGGUGACAUGGGAGAGUAUGUUCUUAGUCAUCUGGAAAUGCAUCUUGAAAUA
Molecule: long non-coding RNA, 1468 nt
Filed under: Sus scrofa (pig)
Lineage: Eukaryota; Metazoa; Chordata; Mammalia; Artiodactyla; Suidae
Description: lncRNA (ENSSSCG00015001692.1)
Source: RNAcentral